CUGCUUGUGCUUGGGAGGUGACCUCUCAGCUUCCGGUUCCUGCCGCCAUGUCUGCAGCGUGCUGCCCCGUCUCCAGUGCUUCCCUGAAACACCGUGGACUAUUUUCUCUCUGGAACCGGAAACCAGAGUAAACUGUUCUGUCCAUAUGUGCUUUUGGUCGUGGUGUUUUAUCACAGCAACAGAAAAAUGGCACCAGAGGCCCUGGCCUAACUUUCUGGCAGAUCAAACUCAUGUUUGGCUUGUGCCCGCCUUAUGACCACACUGUCUGGGCUUGACUGAGGAAGAUCUUGAGCUUCAGAAAGGCAACAGCUUUUGGAAUAGCUGCUGUUCCAGUUGUUCGGGACCCACAUGAAGACCAAGCUGCCCAUCUGCUACGUAUGUGCUGGGAGGCCUAGGUCCACCCUGUGUAUGUUCUUUGGCUGGUGGUUCAGAUUCUGAAAGCCCCAAGGAUCCAGGUUAGUUGACUCUGUUGUUCUUCUUGUGAAAUUCCUAAACCCCUCAGGACACGCAAUCCUUCCUGCUAUUCGUCCAUACGAGUCCCCAAGCUCCAUCCACUGUUUGGCUGUGGGUAUCUUUUCCAUCUGAGUCAGCUGCUGGAGCCUCUUAGAGGACAGCACUUCUGUCUGUAUGGUUCUGUCUGUAUGAAGGUGGAGGAGAGGUUGGGGGAGAAUGGAGGUACCCCUGGGAGAACAGACUGCUGGGGGUGGGGGCGGGGUGGGGUGGGUGACCUU
RNAcentral lists this long non-coding RNA (731 nucleotides) under Rattus norvegicus (Norway rat). Its description in RNAcentral is "long non-coding RNA NONRATT015744". Lineage: Eukaryota; Metazoa; Chordata; Mammalia; Rodentia; Muridae. The record is from RNAcentral.